RNAcentral lists this non-coding RNA (829 nucleotides) under Pleuropoma jana. The record is from RNAcentral. Lineage: Eukaryota; Metazoa; Mollusca; Gastropoda; Cycloneritida; Helicinidae.
AGGUUUGAUUCUAGUCUAAAUUAUAGUGUUAUUUUUAUUUGUUUGCAUGAUAUUAUAUGAGGAUGAUUGUUUAUUUAUUUAGCUAUAAAUUUAAAAUUUAUUAUUAAAUUUGGUAAAUAUAUUUUGUAUAAAUUUACAUCAGUAAUUUAGAUUAUACAAUUAAGUAAAUUUUGAUAUAAUAAUUAAUAUUUGGUUUUUGACAAAUUCAGUGCCAGCAGUCGCGGUUAAACUGGUGAGAAUAAUUAUAAUUUUAUAGUUAAAAUGUAGUAUAGAUUUAUAAAAUAUUUUAUUUAAUAUAUGGGUGCAAUCUAUAUUAAAUUAAUUUUUGGAGUUUUAAAUUUAGAUUUACGAAAUUAUUAUAAAAAACCAGGAUUUAACCCUGUUAUUUUUAAUAUAAAUUUUAUAAGCUAGGGGACUAUAAAGCAAAACUUUAAAACUCAAAGAAUUUGGCGGUGUUUUAAAAUCCUUAUAGAGGAAUCUGUUUCGUUAUUGAUAGUCCGCGUAGUACCUUACUUUAUCUAAAAAUUAGUAUACCGUCGUUGGUAGAAUACUUUUAAUAAAAAUAGGAGUUUACUAAACUAGAGUUUUAUCUAUAACAAUAGAUCAAGGUACAGUCUAUGGUAAAGAUGAUAAUGGAUUACAAUUUUUGAUUUAAAUUGCGGAUUUAUAUAUGAAAUUGUGUAAUUAAGUUGGAUUUAUAAGUAAUAUUUAUUAGAAUGAUAAUGUGAAUGGGAGCAAAAAUGUGUACAAAUCGCCCGUCGCUCUUGUUGAAAAAUAAGAUAAGUCGUAACAUAGUUAGGGUAGCGGAAGCUGUUCUUAGUCGUAUAUU